CUGAGUACUACACUCUCUACCCUUUGUGAACUAUUAUACCUGUUGCUUCGGCGGCGCCCGCGAGGGGUGCCCGCCGGUCUCAUCAGAAAUCUCUGGUUUUCGAACCCGACGAUACUUCCUGAGUGUUCUUAGCGAACUGUCA
RNAcentral lists this unclassified non-coding RNA (142 nucleotides) under soil metagenome. RNAcentral describes it as "partial internal transcribed spacer 1". The record is from RNAcentral.